UUCCGGUCCCCUCGCAACGAUAUGCUGUAAACCCCGCCAGGCCCGGAAGGGAGCAACGGUAGCAGCGGCCUCGUGUGCCGGGGUGUGGCUGGUUUGG
This 97-nucleotide signal recognition particle RNA is filed under the name Gammaproteobacteria bacterium. RNAcentral describes it as "signal recognition particle sRNA small type". It matches the Rfam family "Bacterial small signal recognition particle RNA". From Rfam's summary of the family: The signal recognition particle (SRP) is a universally conserved ribonucleoprotein involved in the co-translational targeting of proteins to membranes. The record is from RNAcentral. Lineage: Bacteria; Pseudomonadati; Pseudomonadota; Gammaproteobacteria.